This 722-nucleotide ribosomal RNA is filed under the name Pulveroboletus rubroscabrosus. Its description in RNAcentral is "eukaryotic LSU rRNA". It matches the Rfam family "Eukaryotic large subunit ribosomal RNA", at positions 63 to 772 of the family's 3401-position model. The record is from RNAcentral. Lineage: Eukaryota; Fungi; Basidiomycota; Agaricomycetes; Boletales; Boletaceae.
AACUAACAGGAUUCCCCUAGUAACUGCGAGUGAAGCGGGAAGAGCUCAAAUUUUGAAUCUGGCGGCCUUCUGGGUCGUCCGAGUUGUAAUCUAGAGAAGCGUUUUCCGUGCUGGACCGUGUACAAGUCUCCUGGAAGGGAGCGUCAUAGAGGGUGAGAAUCCCGUCUUUGACACGGAGGACCCAGUGCUAUGUGAUGCGCUCUCGACGAGUCGAGUUGUUUGGGAAUGCAGCUCAAAACGGGUGGUAAAUUCCAUCUAAAGCUAAAUAUGGGCGAGAGACCGAUAGCGAACAAGUACCGUGAGGGAAAGAUGAAAAGAACUUUGGAAAGAGAGUUAAACAGUACGUGAAAUUGCUGAAAGGGAAACGCUUGAUGUCAGUCGCGUCGGUCGGGGAUCAACCCUUGCUUCUUGCUGGGCGUACUUCCCGGCGGACGGGUCAGCAUCAGUUUCGGACGUCGUACAAGGGCGAGAGGAACGUGACACUCUUCGGAGUGUGUUUAUAGCCUUUUCGUCGUAUGCGACGUUCGGGACUGAGGAACUCAGCACGGCUUUUUCAAAGCUUUUUGUGCUUCAGGAUGCUGGCAUAAUGGCCUUAAGCGACCCGUCUUGAAACACGGACCAAGGAGUCUAACAUGCCUGCGAGUGUUCGGGUGGCAAACCCGAGCGCACAAUGAAAGUGAAAGUUGAGACCUCUGUCGUGGAGGGCAUCGACGCCCGGACCC